AACGAACGCUGGCGGCAGGCCUAACACAUGCAAGUCGAGCGAGGACUUCGGUUCUAGCGGCGGGCGGGUGAGUAACGCGUGGGAAUGUGCCCUUCUCUACGGAAUAGCCCUGGGAAACUGGGAGUAAUACCGUAUACGCCCUAUUGGGGAAAGAUUUAUCGGAGAAGGAUCAGCCCGCGUUGGAUUAGGUAGUUGGUGGGGUAAUGGCCUACCAAGCCGACGAUCCAUAGCUGGUUUGAGAGGAUGAGCAGCCACACUGGGACUGGGACACGGCCCAGACUCCUACGGGAGGCAGCAGUGGGGAAUCUUAGACAAUGGGGGCAACCCUGAUCUAGCCAUGCCGCGUGAGUGAUGAAGGCCUUAGGGUUGUAAAGCUCUUUCAGCUGGGAAGAUAAUGACGGUACCAGCAGAAGAAGCCCCGGCUAACUCCGUG
RNAcentral lists this ribosomal RNA (433 nucleotides) under uncultured bacterium. Its description in RNAcentral is "partial 16S ribosomal RNA". It matches the Rfam family "Bacterial small subunit ribosomal RNA", at positions 29 to 507 of the family's 1533-position model. The record is from RNAcentral.